Molecule: ribosomal RNA, 433 nt
Filed under: uncultured bacterium
Lineage: Bacteria
Description: partial 16S ribosomal RNA
Rfam family: Bacterial small subunit ribosomal RNA
Source: RNAcentral
AACGAACGCUGGCGGCAUGCCUAACACAUGCAAGUCGAACGAGACCUUCGGGUCUAGUGGCGCACGGGUGCGUAACGCGUGGGAACCUGCCCUUAGGUUCGGAAUAACUCCCCGAAAGGGGUGCUAAUACCGGAUAAUGUCUUCGGACCAAAGAUUUAUUGCCUUUGGAUGGGCCCGCGUUGGAUUCGCUAGUUGGUAGGGUAAAAGCCUACCAAGGCGACGAUCCAUAGCUGGUCUGAGAGGAUGAUCAGCCACACUGGGACUGAGACACGGCCCAGACUCCUACGGGAGGCAGCAGUAGGGAAUAUUAGACAAUGGGCGAAAGCCUGAUCCAGCAAUGCCGCGGGAGUGAUGAAGGCCUUAGGGUUGUAAAGCUCUUUUACCCGGGAUGAUAAUGACAGUACCGGGAGAAUAAGCACCGGCUAACUCCGUG